GACGAACGCUGGCGGCGUGCUUAACACAUGCAAGUCGAACGAUGAAGAAAAGAAUUGAAGCUUCGGCAGAAAUUCAUUUCGGAUUAGUGGCAGACGGGUGAGUAACGCGUGAGCAACCUACCUCUUACAAAGGGAUAGCCUCGGGAAACCGGGAUUAAUACCAUAUAACAUUGCGACGAAGCAUUUCGAUGCAAUCAAAGCUACGGCGGUAAGAGAUGGGCUCGCGUCCCAUUAACCAGAUGGUGAGGUAACGGCUCACCAUAGUAACGCUGGGUAACCGGCCUGAGAGGGUGAACGGUCACACUGGAACUGAGACACGGUCCAGACUCCUACGGGAGGCAGCAGUGGGGAAUAUUGCACAAUGGAGGGAACUCUGAUGCAGCGACGCCGCGUGAGUGAUGAAGGAAUUCGUUUCGUAAAACUCUGUUCUAUGGGAAGAAAAGGACUGUACCAUAGGAGAAAGCUCCGGCUAAAUACGUG
Molecule: ribosomal RNA, 480 nt
Filed under: uncultured bacterium
Lineage: Bacteria
Description: partial 16S ribosomal RNA
Rfam family: Bacterial small subunit ribosomal RNA
Source: RNAcentral